Molecule: ribosomal RNA, 486 nt
Filed under: uncultured bacterium
Lineage: Bacteria
Description: bacterial SSU rRNA
Rfam family: Bacterial small subunit ribosomal RNA
Source: RNAcentral
ACGCUAGCUACAGGCUUAACACAUGCAAGUCGAGGGGCAGCAUGAUCUUAGCUUGCUAAGAUUGAUGGCGACCGGCGCACGGGUGAGUAACGCGUAUCCAACUUCCCCUUAGUAGAGGAUAGCCCGGCGAAAGUCGGAUUAAUACUCUAUGUUGUAUUUUGAGGACAUCUGACGAAUACCAAAGAUUCAUCGCUAAGGGAUGGGGAUGCGUCUGAUUAGCUUGUUGGCGGGGUAACGGCCCACCAAGGCAACGAUCAGUAGGGGUUCUGAGAGGAAGGUCCCCCACAUUGGUACUGAGACACGGACCAAACUCCUACGGGAGGCAGCAGUGAGGAAUAUUGGUCAAUGGUCGAGAGACUGAACCAGCCAAGUAGCGUGCAGGAUGACGGCCCUAUGGGUUGUAAACUGCUUUUAUGCGGGGAUAAAGUGAGGGACGUGUCCCUUUUUGUAGGUACCGCAUGAAUAAGGAACGGCUAAUUCCGUGCC